GAUGUACGCUGGCGGCGUGCUUAACACAUGCAAGUCGAACGAUGAAGCCGGAGCUUGCUCUGGUGAAUUAGUGGCGAACGGGUGAGUAACACGUGAGUAACCUGCCCUUGACUCUGGGAUAACUGCGGGAAACUGUAGCUAAUACCGGAUACGACCCUCGGAGGCAUCUCCUGGGGGUGGAAAGAAUUUCGGUCAAGGAUGGACUCGCGGCCUAUCAGCUAGUUGGUGAGGUAAAGGCUCACCAAGGCGACGACGGGUAGCCGGCCUGAGAGGGUGACCGGCCACACUGGGACUGAGACACGGCCCAGACUCCUACGGGAGGCAGCAGUGGGGAAUAUUGCACAAUGGGCGCAAGCCUGAUGCAGCAACGCCGCGUGAGGGAUGACGGCCUUCGGGUUGUAAACCUCUUUUAGCAGGGAAGAAGCGAAAGUGGCGGUACCUGCAGAAAAAGCACCGGCUAACUACGUGCCAGCCGCCGCAGUAA
Molecule: ribosomal RNA, 484 nt
Filed under: uncultured bacterium
Lineage: Bacteria
Description: partial 16S ribosomal RNA
Rfam family: Bacterial small subunit ribosomal RNA
Source: RNAcentral